This is a long non-coding RNA of Apis dorsata (giant honeybee), 207 nucleotides long. RefSeq lists it as uncharacterized. Lineage: Eukaryota; Metazoa; Arthropoda; Insecta; Hymenoptera; Apidae. The transcript has 3 exons. The record is from RefSeq and is a predicted model, not a curated record.
GCCACCGAUCGAUAUCGAUCCUCGAAAAAGUGGGAAAACGUUUAGCGCUCUCGCUUCCAUCUUCGUUAAACUUGCACCACCUCGCAACAAGAGGAAGAACGAGGGAAUUCAACGAGUGGUGUACGUCGUACUAUCGACCCCCUGUUGAGACGAGACACCGUUUCGAGUACUAGAAAAACGAGGAGCAAGAGAGGAUGCUCGCGAGGG